AUAUCAUGUAUGCAUAUGUCUGGAGAAACCUUUAACCUGUCCAUAACUUGUGUUAAACGUUCAACUAUAUUUCAUAACUUUGAGAUCUAUAGUUUUAUGUUGUUUUUAGGAUUUGCCUUUUGGCCGUCUUCCUACUGAAAUCUUGAAUCUGCUAUCUUGGGACUAUAGUACUGAGCAGGGAGAAGUUCGGCUAAAAACUGUCAUUGAUUUGCUAUCUUGUUCCGGUUGUCAAAGAAGUGCAAUGUGCUGACUGCUGAGUUUGUUGUUCGUGAUGGAUGGGUCUUUGCUGCUAGUACAACCGUUUCUUGAGGAGAAUUCGUGUCCAAAAUGUUCAAGUGGAAGCUUCUUUGGGUAUGUAAACAAUUGUUUUAUAAUCAUUGUUUCAUAAAGGUCGUAACAUACCCUUUUAGACCUUUUAUCCAAAUAUUGUUCCUCGUACUAAGAUUAAGGCCCCGUUUGAUUCUUAUUUUCAUCAAAAUACAUUUUUCUCUAUCUUCCAAGAAAAAUCCACUUCCCUUUCUCGGGGCUAUUGUGCAUUGACAUAAUGUUAUUUAUCGCCAUACUAGUUUAGGUGAUAUUCAA
RNAcentral lists this long non-coding RNA (582 nucleotides) under Olea europaea subsp. europaea. The record is from RNAcentral. Lineage: Eukaryota; Viridiplantae; Streptophyta; Magnoliopsida; Lamiales; Oleaceae.